UUGACAGCAACUCAUAACUGCUUGGUCUAAUUCUUUCCAACGUGUCCUUUUUCCUGUAAUCCAUUUUCUUCUCUAAAUUAAUUUUCCAAGUUCUUUCCUCAGCUCUUCAACAAUGGAAUCCUGUGAAUUACAAGAGUCGUCAUGAUAAGGAGGAAUUCAGGAUCACCUGGUACGACGGUUUGGCGAGCUAGCAUAUGUAAAAGUUUGAUGUUCAGGUGUAAUUUCUCAAGGUCGAUCUUUGUGAUGGUUGUCUACACUGUCUUUCUUCUUGUUCUGCCGCCAAUGUUGCCACCGUUGCCACCGCCGCCAACGGUUCUUCUGUUUGUGCCAGUUAUGAUCAUGUCCCUUCUGGUUUUUAUGGCCUUCAUUCCAUCGCAAAUGCCCUCGUUUUCUCCUUGAGAUCCUUUCUUCCUUUUUUUUUUU
RNAcentral lists this unclassified non-coding RNA (423 nucleotides) under Hevea brasiliensis (rubber tree). The record is from RNAcentral. Lineage: Eukaryota; Viridiplantae; Streptophyta; Magnoliopsida; Malpighiales; Euphorbiaceae.